GAUGAACGCUAGCGGCAGGCCUAACACAUGCAAGUCGAGGGGCAGCACAGAAACAGCAAUGUUUUGGUGGCGACCGGCGGACGGGUGCGUAACGCGUAUGCAACCUACCUCUAACAGGGGGAUAACGGAGAGAAAUUUCCACUAAUACCCCAUAACAUCGAUCAAGGCAUCUUGAUUGGUUGAAAACUCCGGUGGUUAAAGAUGGGCAUGCGUUGUAUUAGGUAGUUGGUGAGGUAAUGGCUCACAAAGCCUACGAUACAUAGGGGGACUGAGAGGUUAGCCCCCCACACUGGAACUAAGACACGGACCAGACUCCUACAGGAGGCAGAACUGAGGAAUAUUGGUCAAUGGGGGCAACCCUGAGCCAGACAUGCCGCGUGCAGGAAGACGGCUCUAUGAGUUGUAAACUGCUUUUAAACAGGGAUAAAGCACAGUAUGUAUACUGUGUUGAAGGUACUGUAAGAAUAAGGAUCGGCUAACUCCGUGCCAGCCGCCGCAGUAA
This 502-nucleotide ribosomal RNA is filed under the name uncultured bacterium. RNAcentral's name for it is "partial 16S ribosomal RNA". It matches the Rfam family "Bacterial small subunit ribosomal RNA", at positions 28 to 523 of the family's 1533-position model. The record is from RNAcentral.